RNAcentral lists this ribosomal RNA (651 nucleotides) under Candidatus Latescibacterota bacterium. RNAcentral describes it as "Latescibacterota bacterium Bacterial large subunit ribosomal RNA". It matches the Rfam family "Bacterial large subunit ribosomal RNA", at positions 2292 to 2925 of the family's 2925-position model. The record is from Rfam by way of RNAcentral. Lineage: Bacteria; Pseudomonadati; Candidatus Latescibacterota.
AAAAAGUAACGGAGGCGCUCUAAGGUCGGCUCAACACGGACGGUAACCGUGUGCUGAGUGCAAGGGCACAAGCCGGCUUAACUGCGAGAGCAACAAUUCAAGCAGAGACGAAAGUCGGACCUAGUGAUCCGGUGGUACUGCGUGGAAAGGCCAUCGCUCAACGGAUAAAAGGUACUCUGGGGAUAACAGGCUGAUCGGGCCCAAGAGUUCACAUCGACGGCCCGGUUUGGCACCUCGAUGUCGGCUCAUCGCAUCCUGGGGCUGAAUAAGGUCCCAAGGGUUGGUCUGUUCGCCCAUUAAAGCGGUACGUGAGCUGGGUUCAGAACGUCGUGAGACAGUUCGGACUCUAUCCAUCGUGGGCGCAGGAGACUUGAGGGAAGUCGUCCACAGUACGAGAGGACCUGGAUGAACAUACCUCUGAUCCACGAGUUGUUCUGCCAAGAGCACAGCUCGGUAGUCACGUAUGGAAGGGAUAACCGCUGAAAGCAUCUAAGUGGGAAGCCCCUCCCAAGAUAAGGUCUCCCGUGUAUAUUUCCGUAAGGAAGUAAUACCCAUAAGACUCAUUGUAGACUACAAUGUUGAUAGGUCACAGGUGUAAGUGCAGUAAUGUAUUGAGCCAAGUGAUACUAAUCAGUCGUGAGGCUUAUUUGA